AGUGUGAGGAUGACUGCCCAGCUCUGCGAGGUGCGGCGCACAGGGUAGUUAGUAUCCACGCGGUAAGCAUGCCAGUUGGGUUAUUCGUGCUCAGCCCUAGUGUGCCACAGUCUGCAGGGUAACAAUUUCUCCAUAGGUCCUUGGAGCGUGACCACAACAGUGUGCACCUUCGCUGUCCGUGGGGUAAAGAUGUCUGCCCGGUUUACAGCCUUGCCGCAGACUGCAGGGGGAAAAACGUCUGCUCAAGUCUUCAAUGCGCAGCCGUGGCAAUGCAGCUGUGGGAAGAUGAAAGUCCUGAGGUUCCAAGAAGCAAGGUGAUGGGCCAGGUCAUCCAGUUGAAAACAAGCACCACCAGGCCUGAGCUGAAAAUGAAGAAUGAAGAGGACACUCCUCCAGCUCCUUUCUUCAGCAACUAGAAAAAGAGAAUGUUAGCAUUUCUCUGAUUUGCAAGCUUCUGAGCUAAUUAAUACAACACAGUAUGCUUCUCCCAGAAAGGAAUUUUAAAUAGAUUUUGCUUUUAAGAUGUUCAGUUAAACAGAGCUUCACUGCAGUGCCCACAUUCAUUCAUCCCUCCAUCUACCCAUCUACCCAUCCACACAUUCAUUCAAUGGAUCAAAAUGUGUGCAAUACAAGCUAUCUCUGAGAAUACAGAGGUGAACACCAAAAAAAGGCCAAAGAACAAAAUCAAACUACUACUCCAGAUGUCUAGCUCUGUAAGAGAGACCUAAAUGACACCACUUUGUAAAGCAUAAGGAAGGUGGGCCUUUUCUGAGGGCAUCAGGGAUGCCUGCAAUGUGUGGUCACCUGUGAAUCAAGCCUGGAAGGAGAAGUAGAAAUAUACAGUGUCACAUAUCUAACUAGGAAAGUAAGUGAGGAAGGGAGUAAAGACAUACAUCAGGGAGGAGCAUAGUAGGUACAAAGGCAUGAGGUUGAGGCAGGAAGGAGUGAUGCUGUUGGCACUGUUGGACCUAGAGAUGUGUAUCAAAGAUAGGGCUAAAUAAGGAGAAACAGUAGAAUACCACAGGGGACUUGGUACAGCCAAGGAGCUUGGAUUUUUUUCCCAAGCCAUAGGUUAAGAACAGGCAGAUUUUCAUGAGAAGGAAACUUCAACACAAAGGAAGAACAAACAGCCAGGUCUGGUCGGGGCAGAAGUGCUACAGUGACCCAGGAAGAAAUGGUAGGGCCGAGCUUUGU
Fukomys damarensis (Damara mole-rat) is the source of this 1194-nucleotide long non-coding RNA. RefSeq lists it as uncharacterized. The transcript is spliced from 3 exons. Lineage: Eukaryota; Metazoa; Chordata; Mammalia; Rodentia; Bathyergidae. The record is from RefSeq and is a predicted model, not a curated record.